UGGAUUAAUAAAAAACGGCGAGGAUUGGAAGUUUCUGACCAAUGCCCUCUCUGUGCGAUGGAGCCGGAGGACACAUUUCAUGCCUUUUGCAGAUGUCCCAGGGCGGUGGCCCUUUGGCAAGCGAUGGCAGAGCAAUGGCGAAUUCCUGCUGCUACGACAUUCCAUCGGACGGGCACGCAGUGGCUCGCCCAAACUCUUUGUGACCUGCCUGACACGGAGAGGAUGGAACUCAUGAUGACCCUUUGGCGCUGCUGGUACGUGCGCAAUGAAAUGACGCAUCAUAAGCAGCCUCCUCCGGUUGAAGCGUCCAAGAGGUUCCUUCUCAGCUACGUUGAUUCACUCGUGGGCACCCAAAACAACCCGAGUGCAGACCCGGCGAAAGGCAAACAAGUGGUUGAUGUGGUGACGCCCAGCAAGCCUGUACCACAUGCUCGGGUUGCGGACGAGGCGCGAUCACGAUGGACUCCUCCAGCGGAUGGGUGGACCAAACUCAAUGUCGACGGAUCGUUUUGCGCCUCCACCGGAACGGCCGGCGCUGGAAUGGUUCUGCAGGACAGUUUGGGUAAGAUCAUUUUCUCAUCAUGCAGAGAACUGAGAGCAUGUGCAGAACCUUUAGAAGCCGAACUUCUAUCCUGCCUGGAGGGUUUGAACCUUGCCUUGCAGUGGACGCAGCUACCUAUUGAAGUGGAGACAGACUGUCGUGUUGCUCUUAAGAUGAUCACAGCAGUGGACAGAGAUCGAUCCCGUUACUCCAUGCUGGUUGACCAGAUCAGGAGGCUUAUGUCGGAAGGGAGAGUAGUUAAGCUAGCUCAUAUUUGUAGGGAGCAGAAUAGCAUCAGUCAUUAUCUAGCUAGCUUUGGUAGAACUGAAUGCCGCACGGUUGUAUGG
This 888-nucleotide ribosomal RNA is filed under the name Triticum aestivum (bread wheat). Its description in RNAcentral is "partial small subunit ribosomal RNA". The record is from RNAcentral. Lineage: Eukaryota; Viridiplantae; Streptophyta; Magnoliopsida; Poales; Poaceae.